GGAGACAGCCUAUACUGCAGUCGAGCGAGCUUGCCUAGAUGAUUUUAGUGCUUGCACUAAAUGAAACUAGAUACAAGCGAGCGGCGGACGGGUGAGUAACACGUGGGUAACCUGCCCAAGAGACUGGGAUAACACCUGGAAACAGAUGCUAAUACCGGAUAACAACACUAGACGCAUGUCUAGAGUUUGAAAGAUGGUUCUGCUAUCACUCUUGGAUGGACCUGCGGUGCAUUAGCUAGUUGGUAAGGUAACGGCUUACCAAGGCAAUGAUGCAUAGCUGAGUUGAGAGACUGAUCGGCCACAUUGGGACUGAGACACGGCCCAAACUCCUACGGGAGGCAGCAGUAGGGAAUCUUCCACAAUGGACGAAAGUCUGAUGGAGCAACGCCGCGUGAGUGAAGAAGGGUUUCGGCUCGUAAAGCUCUGUUGGUAGUGAAGAAAGAUAGAGGUAGUAACAGGCCUUUAUUUGACGGUAAUUACUUAGAAAGUCACGGCUAACUACGUGCCAGCAGCCGCGGUAAUACGUAGGUGGCAAGCGUUGACCGGAUUUAUUGGGCGUAAAGCGAGUGCAGGCGGUUCAAUAAGUCUGAUGUGAAAGCCUUCGGCUCAACCGGAGAAUUGCAUCAGAAACUGUUGAACUUGAGUGCAGAAGAGGAGAGUGGAACUCCAUGUGUAGCGGUGGAAUGCGUAGAUAUAUGGAAGAACACCAGUGGCGAAGGCGGCUCUCUGGUCUGCAACUGACGCUGAGGC
Molecule: ribosomal RNA, 750 nt
Filed under: uncultured bacterium
Lineage: Bacteria
Description: bacterial SSU rRNA
Rfam family: Bacterial small subunit ribosomal RNA
Source: RNAcentral